Molecule: RNase P RNA, 389 nt
Filed under: Candidatus Hydrogenedentota bacterium
Lineage: Bacteria; Pseudomonadati; Candidatus Hydrogenedentota
Description: Candidatus Hydrogenedentes bacterium RNase P RNA component class A
Rfam family: Bacterial RNase P class A
About the family: Ribonuclease P (RNase P) is a ubiquitous endoribonuclease, found in archaea, bacteria and eukarya as well as chloroplasts and mitochondria.
Source: RNAcentral
CGGGUGGAUCGGGCGGCUGCGUUCCGCCGCGAGCGGAAUGAGGAAAGUCCGGACUCCACAGGACAGGGCGCUGGAUAACGUCCAGGCACCGUAAGGUGACGGAAAGUGCCACAGAGAAGAGACCGCCGAUGGUUCCGAUUUUCGGAACACAGGCAAGGGUGAAACGGUGGGGUAAGAGCCCACCGCCGUCUCCGGUGACGGAGCGGGCACGGCAAACCCCGCCCGGAGCAAGACCAUGUAGACGGUGCGCGUCGGCCCUCGUGUCGGGCCGACCGGAACGUGGUCCGCGUUCUUGGCGCCGCGGGUAGGUUGCUCGAGGUUCCGCGCAAGCGGGAUCCCAGAGAGAUGGUCGCCCUCGACAGAAUCCGGCUUACAGAUCCACCCGCCGC